Molecule: long non-coding RNA, 211 nt
Organism: Bradysia coprophila
Lineage: Eukaryota; Metazoa; Arthropoda; Insecta; Diptera; Sciaridae
Source: RefSeq, a predicted model, not a curated record
GGUAAAUAAAGCUGUCGACAGUCUCGAAGUGUUUUCCAUUCACCUCCAGCGUAUGGUCCGUUGGUCUGCCAUCAGACAAUGAAGUUGUCAUGUACUUGGUUUUUCUCUCACUGACCUUGAGACCGAACUCAGCACCACUAUCUUCAAUUUUCGCGAAAUUCUCUUUAACGAUGUCAAUGUUCCGUCCAAUUAAAUUACUAUUGUAGUGCUU